RNAcentral lists this ribosomal RNA (309 nucleotides) under Triticum aestivum (bread wheat). Its description in RNAcentral is "partial small subunit ribosomal RNA". Lineage: Eukaryota; Viridiplantae; Streptophyta; Magnoliopsida; Poales; Poaceae. The record is from RNAcentral.
AUGCACUUUUCUAUCAAUUGCUCGACAGUAAUUUGUUCACCCACCGUAAUACAUGCUAUCUUGAGAGAAGUCACUAGUGAAACCUAUGGCCCCCUGGUCUCUUUCUUAUUAUAUUGCAUCUCUUUUAUUUAUAUCGCAUCUCGUUUACUAUCUUACAAUCUUUACUUUCUAAUCUAUAUAACAAAAAUACCAAAAAUAUUUACUUUACUAUCUUUAUCAGAUCUCACUUUUGCAAGUGACUGUGAAGGGAUUGACAACCUCUUUUAUCGUGUUGGUUGCAAGGUUCUUGAUUGUUUGUGCAGGUACUAG